RNAcentral lists this transfer RNA (74 nucleotides) under Micromonas commoda. RNAcentral's name for it is "tRNA-Val (TAC) (tRNA-Val-TAC-1-1)". It matches the Rfam family "tRNA". From Rfam's summary of the family: Transfer RNA (tRNA) molecules are approximately 80 nucleotides in length. Their secondary structure includes four short double-helical elements and three loops (D, anti-codon, and T loops). Further hydrogen bonds mediate the characteristic L-shaped molecular structure. tRNAs have two regions of fundamental functional importance: the anti-codon, which is responsible for specific mRNA codon recognition, and the 3' end, to which the tRNAs corresponding amino acid is attached (by aminoacyl-tRNA synthetases). tRNAs cope with the degeneracy of the genetic code in two manners: having more than one tRNA (with a specific anti-codon) for a particular amino acid; and 'wobble' base-pairing, i.e. permitting non-standard base-pairing at the 3rd anti-codon position. Lineage: Eukaryota; Viridiplantae; Chlorophyta; Mamiellophyceae; Mamiellales; Mamiellaceae. The record is from Rfam by way of RNAcentral.
GUCUUCAUGGUGUAGUUGGUUAUCACGUUCGCUUUACACGCGAAAGGUCCUCGGUUCGAACCCGGGUGAAGACA